RNAcentral lists this ribosomal RNA (1376 nucleotides) under uncultured bacterium. RNAcentral's name for it is "16S ribosomal RNA". It matches the Rfam family "Bacterial small subunit ribosomal RNA". The record is from RNAcentral.
UGAACGCUGGCGGCGUGGCUAAGACAUGCAAGUCGUACGGGACCCGCAAGGGUUCAGUGGCGAACGGGUGAGUAAUGUAUCGCUAACGUGCCCCGGACUCUGGGAUAGCCGCCCGAAAGGGCGGGUAAUACCAGAUGAUAUCCCUCCGUCGCAUGGCGGAGAUCUCAAAGGGAAACCGGUCUGGGAGCGGGCGAUAUCGUAUCACCUAUUUGGUAGGGUAACGGCCUACCAAGGCGACCACACGUAUCCAGACUGAGAGGUUGGCCGGCCACAUUGGGACUGAGACACUGCCCAGACUCCUACGGAGGGCUGCAGUAACGAAUCUUCCGCAAUGCACGCCAGUGUGACAGACCGACACCCCGUGUGGGACGAAGCCCUUCGGGGUGUAAACCACUGUCAGGGGAAAGAAAGUUCUGAUCUACCCCAGAGGAAGGCGCGGCUAACUCUGUGCCAGCAGCCGCGGUAAGACAGAGGUGCCCAGCGUUAGGCGGAAUCACUGGGCUUAAAGCGUGUGUAGGCGGACUUCUAAGUACCUUGUGAAAUCCCACGGCUUAACCGUGGAACGGCUGGGUAUACUGGUCGUCUUGAGCCAUCUAGGGGCUACCGGUACAAAUGGUGGAGCGGUGAAAUGCGUAGAUAUCAUUUGGAACGCCAAUGGUGAAAACAGGUAGCUGGGGAUGUGCUGACGAUGAGACACGGAAGCCAGGGGAGCGAACGGGAUUAGAUACCCCGGUAGUCCUGGCCCUAUACGAUGUCGACUAGAUCCUGGUCCCUAAGACGGGUUCACGGUCGAAGCAAAAGUGCUAAGUCGACCGCCUGGGAAGUACGGUCACAAGGCUAAUACUCGAAGGAAUUGACGGGGGCUCACACAAGCGGUGGAGCAUGUGGUUCAAUUCGAAGCAACGCGCAGAACCUUACCUGGGUUUGACAUGCCAGGAUUAUCCCUGUGAAAGCAGGGUAGGCCAUUCGGGGUACAACUGGUACAGGUGCUGCAUGGCUGUCGUCAGCUCGAGUCGUGAGAUGUCGGGUUAAGUCCCUCAACGAGCAGUAACCUUUGCCCUUAGUUACCAGCGGGUUAUUCCGGGGACUCUAAGGGGACUGCCGGUGUCAAACCGGAGGAAGGUGGAGAUGACGUCAAGUCCUCAUGGCCUUUAUGCCCAGGGCUACACACGUGUUGCAACGGGCUGCACAAAGCGAACCGAGAGGGCAAGCUGGUGGAAAUCGCACAAAUCACCCCCCAGUUCAGAUCGGAGGCUGCAACUCGCCUCCGUGAAGUUGGAAUCGCUAGUAAUCGCGGAUCAGCUACGCCGCGGUGAAUGCGUUCUUGAGCCUUGUACACACCGCCCGUCAAGUCAUGGGAGCCGGAAAUAGCCGAA